GCGCAGUGCGCUGCUGGGCCCGAGGCUGGGGCGCGGGGCGGAUGGUGUGUCACGUGCCCGGCGGUCGUUCCACAGCCUCUGCAGCCGCCGCCCCCCUCCUCUGCCUGCGCCAUCGCCCCACCCGGAGGCCAUCGGGGCGCUCCGGGCGGCGCCGAAGCUGUGGUCCCUCCGGAGGCGUCUUUGGGAAACUCUGGGCAGCCUCCGCUGGGAAAUUUAGACUGAGGCAGACCAAGGUAUAAUUCAAGUGGCAGUCCAUCCAUCUGGGACCUGAGACCCCACCUUUGAUGUGAGGACCCUGAAACAGACUGUUCCAGGUGGUACAGUGGAUAAGAAUCUGCCUGCCAACCAAGGGGACACGGGUUUAAUCCCUGGUCUGGGAAGAUUCCACAUGUUGCAGGGCAACAGCAGCAUGCGCUGUAAUCCCAUGCGCCACGACUGAGCCCACAUGCUGCGACUACUGAAGCCUGUGUUCCACAACUGGAGAGUAGCUCCCAUUUGCUGCAACUAGAGAAAGCCCUUGAAGAGAAAGCAGCAUUGAAGACCCAGCCCAACAAAAAUAAUAAAAUUAAUAAUAAUAAUGAAAAAUUCUUGAAUCACUUGAGCGUUCUGACAUGAUCCCUCAAUGCCCCCCAAAACAAGGCUACUCCUCUACCUAAGCACAACGCAUCCCUUCAAAUCAGGAGCCUCGCUUUGGGAUGUGAACAUAUCUAAUCCUCAGACCCUACGUCCAGUCGUCCAAUAAAGGCCUUCAGAGCAGAAAGACCCAUUUCAGAUCACGUGUCACCUUUACUGCUUGUCCUUUCCUACAGAGUGAGAUGUUCCAGGCUCAUUUUAUGCCUGCCCUGCUACAGCGAUUUCCCCAAGGAGCCCUGAUUCCUUUUGCUGGAGAGGAAGAUUUAGAAGCCAGGAUCUGGGUAUUCAUUCUCACGGCCCUUGCCCAUGUUGGACCCUCGCUCGGGGAGUAACCAUGCAGGGUUGGAGCUGGAGGCCGCAAGGCUCCAGAAGUGGAACUGGUGGAUGCCUGUGUUGAGAGGGGAGUCACAGUUUUCUCAGGGAUUUGAGGGAAGAAUUAGUGAUAGAAAAUUAAAAGACAAGGCAAUAAUUAACUACAGGAAAAACAUAGCAAAACACACACCAGAAAGGAAAUUUAAUCAUAGUAUACCGUGUGGCUCGGCUAUAAAUCAUAUUUAGAUGUAUGUGUAUGUAUGUGUGUUUAGUCACCCAGUCAUGUCAGAUUCUUUGUGACUCCAAGGACUGUGUAGCCCACCAGGCUCCUCUGUCCAUAGGAUUCUCCAGGCAAGAACACUGAGUGGGUUGCCAUUUCCUUCUCCAGGGGAUCUUCACAACCCAGGGGUCAAACUCCGGUCUCCUGCAUUGCAGGCAGAUUCCUUACCGUGGAGCCACCAGGUACCCCGCUGGCCAGCUUCCUGUGUUCAUCCAGACCUAUCUGUGCUCUGACCUGGGGACCAUACUCCACACACGGUUCUCCCUUCACUCCUCUCUUGGAGACGGUCAAGCAUCUCUUGAUGAGCGUAAGCAUCUCUCUGGAGUGUUCCACGGUGGCUCCGAAUCAAGACAGCCAGUAGGUUUGCCUGAAGCUCCAGAAGGAACUUGCCGGAAAUUGGUGGCAACUUGAACCCAGGCUCCUUCUGGCCUCUGGAUUUCAUUCUGAUACCAGACCACCCAGGCAGCUGGCGUGUACCAAGAGCGAGCUGAGCUCUGUCUGGAAGCCAUAUCUGAGAGACUGUGCUGCGGGUGCCUGAAGCCACAUACGGGAUUGUCAACCUGCGCUGGUUUCUCUCUGCCAGAAAGGGACAGUUGCAAGAAUGUUCCCCACUGACUCUGUAGCAUGUGCCGGUGUGGAGCGUGUGUGUGCUCCAUCAUGUCCAAUGCCUUCCGACCCCAUGGACUGUAACUUGCCAGGCUCCUCUGUCCAUGGAAUGUUCCAGGCAAGAAUACUGGAGUGGGUUGGCAUUUGCUACUCCAGGGGAGAUAGGAAUGGUUACCCACUCCAAUAUUCUUGCCUGGAGAAUUCCACGGACAGGGGAGCCUGACAAGCUAUGGUGCUUUCACUUUCACUCCAGGGGAUCUUCCUGACCCAGGGAUUGAACUGGCAUCUCCUGCAUUGGCAGGUGGAUUUUUUACCGCUGAGCCAUCUGGGAAGCCCUGUGCAUGUGUGGAGGUCCCCUCUGUCCCCCAGGGCAGCUGGGAAGGACACAGAGACUACAUCUAAGACCCAAGAGAGAAGAUCGGUCUUCCCUUAGGGACUUGUAGGUUCCGGGUGAUCCCCAGGAGGUGGAGCUGAAGCCUGGGCACGUUGGCAAGUACAGGAGGAAGGACUGACUGCUGGAUGGGCAGCUUUGCUGGCAAGUUGGCCUCCCCAGCCACAUUCUCGAAGACUCUGCACUUUCCAGGGGCUUCCAGGUCAUCAGUAGGCCCCUGGGGAGGGAGACCUGGGAGUCACAUCCCAUCAGGGCUGCCAGGACCCGAGAGAGAACUGUGGUGCCCUAUACCAAGGUCACAGGUGUGAAGCCCUGUACCAAGGUCACAGGAUAAAAAUCUCUGGGACUGACCAAGCUCCAUAGCAACUUUUGCUGUGAGCCUCCGGAUCUAAACCAGCCAGUCCCCUGAUCCCACAUUUGGUAAAAUACCCACCCACCCUAUAGCAUCCUAACUAAUUACCUAAUGCCACCAUUCCAGUAGGAAUUUCUUUAUCUUGAAGCUCUGAAAAUUUGGCUACUAGCCUGUGAAAAGAUUCGACUCUCCCUUGAGCGAGUCUGCUGUGCUAACAGCGUCUCCCACUCUAAUAAACUCUGCUCGCCUCUCA
RNA transcript from Dama dama (fallow deer), 2827 nucleotides. RefSeq lists it as uncharacterized. NCBI's taxonomy places the organism in Eukaryota, Metazoa, Chordata, Mammalia, Artiodactyla, Cervidae. The record is from RefSeq and is a predicted model, not a curated record. The transcript has 5 exons.